This 67-nucleotide transfer RNA is filed under the name Drosophila immigrans. RNAcentral describes it as "tRNA-Asp". RNAcentral also lists the same sequence under 1 other name. Lineage: Eukaryota; Metazoa; Arthropoda; Insecta; Diptera; Drosophilidae. The record is from RNAcentral.
AAAAAAUUAGUUAAAUAUAUAACAUUAGUAUGUCAAACUAAAAUUAUUAAUCUAUUAAUAUUUUUUA